CGCUGGCGGCAGGCCUAACACAUGCAAGUCGAACGAAGCCUUCGGGCUUAGUGGCGGACGGGUUAGUAACGCGUGUGAACGUGCCCUUCACUACGGAAUAGUCCCGGGAAACUGGGUUUAAUACCGUAUACGCCCUUCGGGGGAAAGAAUUUCGGUGAAGGAUCGGCCCGCGUCUGAUUAGGUAGUUGGUGGGGUAACGGCCUACCAAGCCGACGAUCAGUAGCUGGUUUUAGAGGAUGAUCAGCAACACUGGGACUGAGACACGGCCCAGACUCCUACGGGAGGCAGCAGUGGGGAAUCUUGGACAAUGGGGGCAACCCUGAUCCAGCCAUGCCGCGUGAGUGAUGAUGGCCCUAGGGUCGUAAAGCUCUUUCGCCUGUGAUGAUAAUGACAGUAGCAGGUAAAGAAACCCCGGCUGACUCCGUGCCAGCAGCCGCGGUAUACGGAGGGGGGUUAGCGUUGAAGCC
Molecule: ribosomal RNA, 467 nt
Filed under: uncultured Rhodobacterales bacterium
Lineage: Bacteria; Pseudomonadati; Pseudomonadota; Alphaproteobacteria; Rhodobacterales
Description: bacterial SSU rRNA
Rfam family: Bacterial small subunit ribosomal RNA
Source: RNAcentral